GACGAACGCUGGCGGCGUGCUUAACACAUGCAAGUCGAACGGAAAGGCCCUGCUUUUGUGGGGUGCUCGAGUGGCGAACGGGUGAGUAACACGUGAGUAACCUGCCCUUGACUUUGGGAUAACUUCAGGAAACUGGGGCUAAUACCGGAUAGGAGCUCCUGCUGCAUGGUGGGGGUUGGAAAGUUUCGGCGGUUGGGGAUGGACUGGCGGCUUAUCAGCUUGUUGGUGGGGUAGUGGCUUACCAAGGCUUUGACGGGUAGCCGGCCUGAGAGGGUGACCGGCCACAUUGGGACUGGGAUACGGCCCAGACCCCUACGGGAGGCAGCAGUGGGGAAUAUUACACAAUGGGCGGAAGCCUGAUGCAGCAACGCCGCGUGCGGGAUGACGGCCUUCGGGUUGUAAACCGCUUUCGCCUGUGACGAAGCGUGAGUGACGGUAAUGGGUAAAGAAGCACCGGCUAACUACGUG
Molecule: ribosomal RNA, 468 nt
Filed under: uncultured bacterium
Lineage: Bacteria
Description: partial 16S ribosomal RNA
Rfam family: Bacterial small subunit ribosomal RNA
Source: RNAcentral